CCUGCUUCCGUCUGACUUGACAGAAUAAAAGUAGAUGCGGAAGUUUCUGAGCUGAGAAACCAACAAAGCGACGAAGCCGAAACUUCGCAGCUGGAAACUUUUUUAUAUUUGUGAGAACCGGAAGUGACCUGAACGCUCCAUCAUGCCUGAUGUCUACUCCCCGACCACGGCCCCGAACCCCAAGUCCUCCUGGAUCCGGGUCCCCUCAGAGGCUCUGGAGAAGGUCCGCUGUGGGGUCAAGGUCAUCGAAGUGCUCCUGUCCUUCGUGGCCUUCAUCCUGGAGGAGAUGGUCCACAGCUGCAUCAGCUGCUCGACGCUCUACUUCUUUGAGUUCGUGAGCUGCUCCUCCUUCCUGUUCACGCUGCUCCUCCUCGUGCUCCUCUACACCUCCCUGAGGGGCCGGGUGGGCAUCAGCUGCUGGCCCCAGCUGGACUUUGUGUACACGGCCGUCAUCGCGGGCUUGUUCCUCGUGUCCUCCAUCGUCUUCGCCUCCAGCAACAGCGACACGACGAUAGAGAAGAGCGCCGCGACGUUUGGCUUCCUAGCGUCCUCGGCGUUCCUCCUCGACCUCGGCUUGUUCGUGAAGACUCUCGGGUUUCCGUUUCAGAAAGACGGGAAGCCGACGCCCGGCAACGGCGGCGCGGCGCCCGGCAACGGCGGCACGCCGGAGACGGCGAAGCUCAACGAGGCGGAUUGAAUCCUCACAAACGUCGGAUUAUUUCACUCGUCCUUUAACGUAUCGGCAGGAGGCGGAGCUUCAGCGGCCACGGCGUCCAUCUUUAGAGUUCUUUUAUAAAUCCUGUUGUCAACAUAAUCAAUCUCCCAAUCAAAGAACCGAUCCCAGCCGCUCCGUGUUCGGUCUUAAAGGAACAGGACGCGGUUCUUGAGGAACGGAGACACAGAACCACAGAACCACUAAAGUUUGUUUGUAUUCAGGAUUUUUAAUCAACGCGAUGAAUUGGACCCAUUUAUGGAUUUAUUGUCGUGUUGCUUGUUGUUUUUUAUUAUUGAGUAUCAUGAAACAGACAAAAUUAUUUUAAUUUACUCAAAGUUAAGUUUGGUAUAAAUCAACAAAAGAUAUAAUUGUUUUAAAUACAAUAAAUCACCAUGUUGACGGUAAAACUGAGUGACCAUAGUAUUUACGUGUUUUCCGUUCGGGCCCUGAACGCAUCGUGAAAGUUUAGGCAGACAUGAUUUUGAAGUUUGUACCGAAAUGAAGAAAAAGUGUCUUUUAAAAACAUGUAAAUGUCGUUUAUAUAUUAAUAAUAUAAUCUUUUUUAUUCCACUAACAACCAGCAGACGGUUUUAAUUCAACCGGUUUCUUACUUCCUGUUUCUUUAUCAAAUCGGAGAUGUAUGUUUUUUUUUAUAUUGUCGUCUUCUAUUGGAUCAAUUCUUCUUUUCUUUUUUUUUAAUUCAAUGUAUUAUGAACAAAAUUUUCGUUUUGUCAAAUUUGAUUCCAUUCUGAUUUAUAAAUUAUGAAGAAAUCAUCCCGCCUGAUCUUUUUAUUUUAAAUUGUUUGGUGUGUCGUUGAAUGGAAAUGUUUGAGUGAAUUGACCCUGUGCUAAGCCCCGCCCCCUCCUGUUUCUGCUUCAAGUUCUUCAUGUUCAAUCAUUUAAAAGCUAACGCAGCUAUACCUUUAGCAGCUAGCUUAGCAUAGAGCUGUUGUUGCUGUAUUCGGCUAACGUUGGCUCCACAGGCUUCAUUCACUUUCUUUGUGGUCGUUUUGUGUCUUUGUCUUUGAGGUUGUUUUGUGUCUCUUUGUCUUUGAGGUCGUUUUGUGUCUCUUUGUCUUUGAGGUUGUUUUGUGUCUCUUUGUCUUUGAGGUCGUUUUGUGUCUCUUUGUCUUUGAGGUCGUUUUGUGUCUCUUUGUCUUUGAGGUCGUUUUGUGUCUCUUUGAGGUCGUUUUGUGUCUCUUUGAGGUCGUUUUGUGUCUCUUUGUCUUUGUGGUCGUUUUGUGUCUCUUUGUCUUUGAGGUUGUUUUGUGUCUCUUUGAGGUCGUUUUGUGUCUCUUUGUCUUUGUAAUAAAAGACUUUAAUCUGUAAGACAUGAUUUAUACUUAAUAAGGAAACAUUGAAUUAAUAACUUUGUCGUUCUGACGAUCCAGAAAUCAGUUUUUAUAUCAACAUGAAUCACUUAAAUUAAUGUUUUAAAGGACCAAGAACGUUUAUUUUGGAGAAAAUUAAUGUUUUUUAAAGUGUAUUUUAAGUUUCAUUUAUAAUUCAAACUGAGAACGUCUUGUUUUAAAUAAAUGUGUUUUUUAAUUAUUG
Cyclopterus lumpus (lumpfish) is the source of this 2269-nucleotide RNA transcript. It is a transcript of the gene named CKLF-like MARVEL transmembrane domain containing 6, with no coding region annotated. NCBI's taxonomy places the organism in Eukaryota, Metazoa, Chordata, Actinopteri, Perciformes, Cyclopteridae. The record is from RefSeq and is a predicted model, not a curated record. The transcript is spliced from 6 exons.